RNAcentral lists this ribosomal RNA (629 nucleotides) under Pseudechiniscus facettalis. RNAcentral's name for it is "eukaryotic LSU rRNA". It matches the Rfam family "Eukaryotic large subunit ribosomal RNA", at positions 674 to 1252 of the family's 3401-position model. Lineage: Eukaryota; Metazoa; Tardigrada; Heterotardigrada; Echiniscoidea; Echiniscidae. The record is from RNAcentral.
UUCAACAUAUGCGCAGGUCGUUAGGUGUCUGGUAUACCCGAAGGCCUAGUGAAAGCAAGAGAUAUCAUUCGAUGGUAUCAUUUUGGCAUGAUCCUGGCAUACUUAAAAUAUGUUAGGCGCAAUGCCUACCCGUUUAUUGGCCACGCGCCAUGGACGGAGUUAGAGCGCAUACGCUGAGACCCGAAAGAUGGUGAACUAUGCCUGGGCAGGAUAAAGCCAGAGGAAACUCUGGUGGAAGUCCGUAGCGAUUCUGACGUGCAAAUCGAUCGUCUGACCUGGGUAUAGGGGCGAAAGACUAAUCGAACCAUCUAAUAGCUGGUUCCCUCCGAAGUUUCCCUCAGGAUAGCUGGUUAUCGAUAAGCAGUCUCUCCCGGUAAAGCGAAUGAUUAGAGGCCUUGGGACCGAAACGGUCUCAACCUAUUCUCAAACUUUAAAUGGGUGAGAAGUCCGGCUUACUUGAUUUGAAGUCUGGACCAUAUAAUUUGGAUGCAUGAUAACUAAGUGGGCCAUUUUUGGUAAGCAGAACUGGCGCUGUGGGAUGAACCGAACGUUGAGUUACGGCGCCUGAUUAUAGACGCUCAUCAGAUACCACAAAAGGUGUUGGUUGCUAUAGACAGCAGGACGGGGCC